GCUAAUCUGGAAUAAUCCGUACUUAUUCCACUGUAGAAGCUAUCAGCAUUAUUAAGAAUAAAGCAUUCAUCCCUAUAACAUCAACGGAAAAACACAAAACAAAUAUCAUGGGAGUGAGCAUACCUUUGUGUUAGUGCUUCUUUGAGUCUUCCCCAACUAGUUGUCCUAUUGAACCUAGACCAUGGGAUCUCCAAUGUUGCUAGGUUAGGUUUCCGCAAGGUGGUGACUCAUUGUGUUGGCUUUAAGCCCAUUCCCCUCGAUGUGAAGAGAACUUGCUCUCUACUCAGGCCUUUUGUCAAGGGAUCAGCUAUAUUUUCCUUUGACUUUAUAUAACUAAUGGAACAGGCCUUUUGUCAAGGGAUCAGAUAUAUUUUCCUUUGACUUUAUAUAACUAAUGGAAAUGAUUCCAUUCUUCAGCAAGUCUCUUAUUGUAAUAUGUCUGCGCCUAAUGUGUCUCGACUUGCCAUUGUAUAUCUGACUUUGUGCUCUAGUAAGAGCAGCCAUACUAUCACAAUGUAUGCCAAUGGCAGUAACAGGUUGAGGCCACAGAGGAAUACCUUCUAGGAAGCUUUUAAGCCAUUCAGCUUCUUCAGCAGCUUUAUCUAAAGCAACAA
This 614-nucleotide long non-coding RNA is filed under the name Lactuca sativa (garden lettuce). RNAcentral describes it as "long non-coding RNA (LSAT_LNC007234)". Lineage: Eukaryota; Viridiplantae; Streptophyta; Magnoliopsida; Asterales; Asteraceae. The record is from RNAcentral.